GCUGCCGCUCGGGUCCGGCUGCGGGCCACAGGCCGCGGAUCGCGCUCUGCCAGCGCCCCACGCCCGCAAGCGCGGCCCCUCCGCCACCUCGCGGCCCGGCCUGACCUGUUAAUCACGUCCCCACGGCUCUCCUAGCGGGGACACCGCCGUCUGCAGGCUCCGUCCCCACCGUACCCAGACCCCGGGAAGUUUGUCAGUCAGCACCCUGAUGCCUCUCAAAAAGCCAGGAGGAUCCAAGCAGAUCAUUUGCCAGACGGUACUGCAGCAAUGGAGAUGAACAGAUAAUUCACACAGAAAGAAGGAUGAGGGACUGGAUCAAGCUGGGGCGAGACAGAGUGGAGAAGUGAUGAGCUAAGAAAAAUUAGCCUGCAAGCAUGACGUGUCGCACGUCAGCAAGGCUGCAGCCUUGGAUUCUGAUGUCUUGAGAAGAGCGAUUCACCUGUGAAUUCUCACAGCCCUGGCCUCAGAAAGACGGCCCGGGACCAGGCCCGAUGGCACCCCUCUUCCCAGCUCUUAGCCAGGGCGGAAGGCACAAGUGAUGGCCCUGGCCUCGGCAGUCACACUCCUCCUGAAAGCUGACUGGCUGAACCUCACCUCUUGGCUAGCUUGCCACCCAGCUCCUGAGAACAUGUUUGUCCAAGGCCUCUUGGCAGGUCUCGAUGACUCCUUCCCCUAAGGGCCCCCAGUCACCUGCUAAGGCUCCCAGGCCCCUGUGAAACUGGCUCGGUGCCCCAACAGACUCUUCACCUCCAGAGCCUGAGCCGGCCAGCCCAGAGUGCAGCAAGGCACCACACCUACCCUGUGAGGGCACUCGGGCCCCGCGCUGGCCUCUGACAGCACAGGAAGCUCCUGCACUCACGCUGAGGCCUGUAUUUUGCCUUCCUUGGAUAAAUUUGCCAGAAACCCCAUAGUACUUCAGGCCUUUGGGAUAAUUCCCCUGAGCCCCAUAGGCCAGGGCCUGGCAUUCAGUAGUUGCUCUAAAAUUGUGUUUUCACCCACUCUCCUCCAGGCAGUCAGGACAGGGAAGCCCAGGCUUCUGGUCACCACUCACCAAAUCUCUCCCCUGCCCGUCUAUCAGGGAUCAGCUCCUGUAGGCCUUAAACUAGCAGACUAGGUAAAGCAGAGCUGGUGGCAUCAAGGGUCCCGGGGGCUGCAGAGCCCUGGCUGGUACAGGAGGCUGGGCUCUCCUGUAGGUCUGCACCUUCCCAGCAAUGCGGAGGGCACCAGACCCUGCCUGCUCCAGAGGCUGUACCUGAAAGAUGAAGUGCUCGUCAAA
Molecule: long non-coding RNA, 1276 nt
Organism: Gorilla gorilla gorilla (western lowland gorilla)
Lineage: Eukaryota; Metazoa; Chordata; Mammalia; Primates; Hominidae
Exons: 2
Source: RefSeq, a predicted model, not a curated record